Tupaia belangeri (northern tree shrew) is the source of this 107-nucleotide small nuclear RNA. Its record names the gene U4. It matches the Rfam family "U4 spliceosomal RNA". From Rfam's summary of the family: U4 small nuclear RNA (U4 snRNA) is a component of the major U2-dependent spliceosome. NCBI's taxonomy places the organism in Eukaryota, Metazoa, Chordata, Mammalia, Scandentia, Tupaiidae. The record is from Ensembl.
AGCUUUGCGCAGUGAUAGUAUCGUAGCCAAUGAGGUUUAUCUGAGGUGCGAUUAUUGCUAAUUGAAAACUUGAGAGGUGAGGGUAUGCCUGCAUGUACAACAAUCCC